Molecule: ribosomal RNA, 1447 nt
Filed under: uncultured organism
Description: SSU rRNA
Rfam family: Bacterial small subunit ribosomal RNA
Source: RNAcentral
ACGCUGGCGGCAGGCCUAACACAUGCAAGUCGAACGGUAACAGGAAGCAGCUUGCUGCUUUGCUGACGAGUGGCGGACGGGUGAGUAAUGUCUGGGAAACUGCCUGAUGGAGGGGGAUAACUACUGGAAACGGUAGCUAAUACCGCAUAACGUCGCAAGACCAAAGAGGGGGACCUUCGGGCCUCUUGCCAUCGGAUGUGCCCAGAUGGGAUUAGCUAGUAGGUGGGGUAACGGCUCACCUAGGCGACGAUCCCUAGCUGGUCUGAGAGGAUGACCAGCCACACUGGAACUGAGACACGGUCCAGACUCCUACGGGAGGCAGCAGUGGGGAAUAUUGCACAAUGGGCGCAAGCCUGAUGCAGCCAUGCCGCGUGUAUGAAGAAGGCCUUCGGGUUGUAAAGUACUUUCAGCGGGGAGGAAGGGAGUAAAGUUAAUACCUUUGCUCAUUGACGUUACCCGCAGAAGAAGCACCGGCUAACUCCGUGCCAGCAGCCGCGGUAAUACGGAGGGUGCAAGCGUUAAUCGGAAUUACUGAGCGUAAAGCGCACGCAGGCGGUUUGUUAAGUCAGAUGUGAAAUCCCCGGGGCUCAACCUGGGAACUGCAUCUGAUACUGGCAAGCUUGAGUCUCGUAGAGGGGGGUAGAAUUCCAGGUGUAGCGGUGAAAUGCGUAGAGAUCUGGAGGAAUACCGGUGGCGAAGGCGGCCCCCUGGACGAAGACUGACGCUCAGGUGCGAAAGCGUGGGGAGCAAACAGGAUUAGAUACCCUGGUAGUCCACGCCGUAAACGAUGUCGACUUGGAGGUUGUGCCCUUGAGGCGUGGCUUCCGGAGCUAACGCGUUAAGUCGACCGCCUGGGGAGUACGGCCGCAAGGUUAAAACUCAAAUGAAUUGACGGGGGCCCGCACAAGCGGUGGAGCAUGUGGUUUAAUUCGAUGCAGCGCGAAGAACCUUACCUGGUCUUGACAUCCACGGAAGUUUUCAGAGAUGAGAAUGUGCCUUCGGGAACCGUGAGACAGGUGCUGCAUGGCUGUCGUCAGCUCGUGUUGUGAAAUGUUGGGUUAAGUCCCGCAACGAGCGCAACCCUUAUCCUUUGUUGCCAGCGGUCCGGCCGGGAACUCAAAGGAGACUGCCAGUGAUAAACUGGAGGAAGGUGGGGAUGACGUCAAGUCAUCAUGGCCCUUACGACCAGGGCUACACACGUGCUACAAUGGCGCAUACAAAGAGAAGCGACCUCGCGAGAGCAAGCGGACCUCAUAAAGUGCGUCGUAGUCCGGAUUGGAGUCUGCAACUCGACUCCAUGAAGUCGGAAUCGCUAGUAAUCGUGGAUCAGAAUGCCACGGUGAAUACGUUCCCGGGCCUUGUACACACCGCCCGUCACACCAUGGGAGUGGGUUGCAAAAGAAGUAGGUAGCUUAACCAUGGGGAGGGCGCUUACCACUUUGUGAUU